RNAcentral lists this ribosomal RNA (357 nucleotides) under Triticum aestivum (bread wheat). Its description in RNAcentral is "partial small subunit ribosomal RNA". The record is from RNAcentral. Lineage: Eukaryota; Viridiplantae; Streptophyta; Magnoliopsida; Poales; Poaceae.
UUCCACAGGCGGCGCGCCCCGGCGGUGGUGUUGAAGCUUGACUUCGCCAAAGCUUUUGACUCCAUCAACUGGGCAAGUUUGCGGACUAUCAUGGAGGUUCGGGGGUUCCCGCCGCUCUGGUGCGCAUGGAUGGACUCCCUCUUCCACUCCUCGCGCUCGGUCGUCCUCCUCAACGGCGUGCCGGGGAGGUGGUUCCAGGUCGGCUGCAGCCUGCGGCAGGGGGACCCCGUCUCCCCUACCUCUUCAUCAUCGUCGCCGACGUCCUCCAACGCCUCAUCCGCCAUGAUGAUGUGCUUCGCCACCCCCUACUGCCGGAUGCUCCGGCGAUGGUGCUCCAGUACGCCGACGACACUCUGA